This is a non-coding RNA of Gossypium raimondii (Peruvian cotton), 145 nucleotides long. The record is from Rfam. NCBI's taxonomy places the organism in Eukaryota, Viridiplantae, Streptophyta, Magnoliopsida, Malvales, Malvaceae.
UAUUAAAAAUUUCAUAUAUUUUUAUUGUUUAAAACUGACAUAAUUAAUAAAAUAAUUAAACAAUAACACAUGCCAUGACAUGCGUAUCUUAUAUUGACAUACAAUGAUCAACUUUUAACGGUAAAAAUGGAUAAAAAUUUUAACU